Transfer RNA from Colletotrichum gloeosporioides Cg-14, 86 nucleotides. It matches the Rfam family "tRNA". Rfam says of the family: Transfer RNA (tRNA) molecules are approximately 80 nucleotides in length. Their secondary structure includes four short double-helical elements and three loops (D, anti-codon, and T loops). The record is from Rfam. NCBI's taxonomy places the organism in Eukaryota, Fungi, Ascomycota, Sordariomycetes, Glomerellales, Glomerellaceae.
GGUCUAUUAGUCUAGUUGGUUAGGACGUCGGAUUCUGAUGAUAUCAGAACUUUCCGUAAGCCCAGGUUCGAAUCCUGGAUGGACCU